Non-coding RNA from Tinamus guttatus (white-throated tinamou), 171 nucleotides. The record is from RefSeq and is a predicted model, not a curated record. NCBI's taxonomy places the organism in Eukaryota, Metazoa, Chordata, Aves, Tinamiformes, Tinamidae.
UUAUGUAAAAUUGUUUAGUGCAGAACUGCUUAGUGUAUCAUCAGCACCAAUUUGCUUUAGCUAUAUCCUACAGUUAGUAUAAAAGACCAGCUACUCCUAUAGGUUAUUCAGAAAAUAGAAAGUAGCACACACACAAAAACAACCACAGAAAAUAACUGGCCACAUUUUUAG